AGAAGUUACUCUGUUGGAAAAAGAAGAUGCUUCCACAUAGAACGACACAUCAACAAAGCUCAUGAAAUACUGUCUUAUUCUUUGGAGGACACCAACAUCCUUCUCUUGUACAGAAGCCUCCCGAGGACCUUGCUGUAGGCAUGAAUGGUCUGCUGCUGAUCCCUCAGGUUGAGUAAGUUUAUCCACAGGAGUAGCUGUCAUGAUCAAGGAGUGAUAUGUAACCUGACCAUUACAAAGACAUAGUGUGCUAUGAAUGCUCUUGAAAAGGAAGAUCGUAUGUAUGAAGGAAUCAUUGCUUUCAUGCUGAAGACUUCAGAGCAGCAAUUGAAAGGAAAACAAAAUACAUGUUCUUCUGAAAAGGUAUUUAUUUAUUUAUUACCUGAGACAUCACAAAUGGGUACUGAGGUUUUAGCAUGGAAACUGCACAGCUUUUCCCUUUCUCCUCUGCUCCCUCCAUCUGCCACUGCAGCUUCUUAACGUUUGACAACAAUUCUGGGGCAGCUGUAUUUUUAUGCUACUAUUUAAUUUUGCUGGUAGACAUUCUUGUUUAUGUGAGUCUCUUACACAAAGGAGAAAAAACAGUAAGUGGUGUUGUAGCACAUGGCUGCUUCUAGCAAAGCACAUAUUUAAGGGCCUUCUUAAACAGAACUAAUCUAACGUGAGCCCUCACCUAAAUUAUGAGGAAAAUUGACACUGUCCCAAACCAUGCUUUUAACAGCCAGCUUCCUUGCUUGCAAGCACUCAACAGUAUUCAAAGAAAUCUUUAUAUAUUAAAAAAUAAGUCAUAAAACAUGAAAAUUGUAGCACCUGAACUCACUAUCGUUGGACCCACUGAGCAGUUGAGAGGCCAGUUCCCCACCUGAGGCAGACUUUGCAGCCAAGCAGCUCACCUGAUCACAUCUGGGAUACUGGGGGAGCCCAGCACUAGUGGUGAUGUUGUCAAAGGGAAAGUGUUACCUUGUUAUUUGAACAAGGUAAUGGGAACAAUAUGGGAAUGAGCUGUCAGAAAGAGAACCCAGCUCUUCCUCUUCCCCCAUUUUCUAAAUCUAAUGUUCAGAUGUGGUAAAUUCCCAGGUGGCAUUAUAAACAUUGUGGAUACAGAAUAG
Molecule: long non-coding RNA, 1106 nt
Organism: Pezoporus occidentalis (night parrot)
Lineage: Eukaryota; Metazoa; Chordata; Aves; Psittaciformes; Psittacidae
Exons: 3
Source: RefSeq, a predicted model, not a curated record